RNAcentral lists this transfer RNA (74 nucleotides) under Verrucomicrobiota bacterium. RNAcentral's name for it is "Verrucomicrobia bacterium (rhizosphere metagenome) tRNA-Arg". It matches the Rfam family "tRNA". Rfam says of the family: Transfer RNA (tRNA) molecules are approximately 80 nucleotides in length. Their secondary structure includes four short double-helical elements and three loops (D, anti-codon, and T loops). Further hydrogen bonds mediate the characteristic L-shaped molecular structure. tRNAs have two regions of fundamental functional importance: the anti-codon, which is responsible for specific mRNA codon recognition, and the 3' end, to which the tRNAs corresponding amino acid is attached (by aminoacyl-tRNA synthetases). tRNAs cope with the degeneracy of the genetic code in two manners: having more than one tRNA (with a specific anti-codon) for a particular amino acid; and 'wobble' base-pairing, i.e. permitting non-standard base-pairing at the 3rd anti-codon position. Lineage: Bacteria; Pseudomonadati; Verrucomicrobiota. The record is from RNAcentral.
GCAUCCGUAGCUCAACUGGAUAGAGCGUUGGCCUCCGGAGCCAAAGGUUAUGGGUUCGAGCCCCGUCGGAUGCA